GAGGAGAGGGAGAGGAAGAAGCACGCUUUAAUCCCCUUGCUUCUCUUAUUUCUCUACCUCCUCUUGGUGCACCAAGCCCCGCACCGGAACCUAAAUUGCUCGGAUUAGGAGAAAAGUUCUACUUGGAUGGAUGAAUUUGCGAUAUCAUAUGUUCAUGCAUGUUGGCAUGUAUGCAGGUGUGUGUGUGUGUGUGUGUGUAUUUAUGAAUCUAUGCACAACUAAUUUUUUUCCCCCUUUUUCCUGAGAGGAAGGAUAUAAGAGUUAUUUAGCCCUUAAUCAAUAUAAGCUGCAAGGAUUAGGCACGCUUGUUUGAUGCAUAAGUAGAUCAAGGAUUGACACAACCACUAUUAUCUUUUAUUAAUGAACUUUUUUAUAUUAUCUUCAUGGAUUUAGAGAUGGACAACAAGAACCCCCGCCGAAGAACGUUUGGUAAUAAUAGUAGUAGAGAGUUUUAGACUCAGAUUAUGGAGAGGAAGGGGUCGCAUUUGUUCAAUAUGGCAUCAAAUUAAACUAUCCAAAUCAGGCUACCUUAGUUCCAAUUUUUCAGUGGAUAAUAAUAUCGCAAAUUUGGGGCAAAAAUUUAGCACGGCAUUGUCCUUUCGACUUUUCUGUUAUCCGAUUGCCAGGACUUAGAAUAGAACGUCGCCUUCAUCAUAGACUGGGCCCGGAGCACUGCGUUGUAUGGCCGCACGUUGAUUGGGAUGAGGCCCAACUUUGGACCCAAGAAUCGGACUCGCAGGUGAAUCGUGGCCGUCGUUUCCAACAACUGCGUGCAGUCUUGGUCAAGUUGUAUGCAGGGUUAAAGCGGACCGCAAGAACUGGUUCAAACCGUCAGCGUUGGCCCACUAAUUGUCUUGGUUCAAUUAUUGGAUGGAUUCUGUCCCGGUGCACAGCUUGGACAUGACACUAUUUUGUGAUUCCAAUGGGCCAUGGCGGCAUUGCGUAUUCUGAUGCACGAUAUGCGAUCGCCAGGCAGCCCUUGAUGAAUCAACAGCACGGUUUGCCAUCGGACUUGUUCGAUUUUGAGAAAAGGAGAGAGAAAACUAGGAUCAAUAAAAAAAAUAAAAACAUACUUUAUAUUUGAUUGGAAUUUUUUUAAAAAUAAUAAAUUUGUAUAUUUUAUGAGAAAAAAAUUACGUUUACAUGCGUCUAAAAAUGAAGAUAAUUUUUUUUAAAAUAUAUUUUUAAGCUUUUAGAUAGAAUAUGGUAAAAUAUUUUUUUAUUUAAAAUAUAACAAAUAUUUUAUAUAACAAUAUAGGUACUCAACCAAAUAGAAGUUUUUUUGAAAUGUACUUUUCUUUAUCAACUAAAUACUUAAAAAUUAGUUUAUUAUAUAUAAAAAAACUUUUAGAGCUAGAAAUAAAGGAUGAACACCAGAAAGAUGGGGACCGCGUUUGAUGUAAAGUAAUAGUAAAUGGCUGUCUCUGAAAAACAAGAACAUGCGAUUCCUAUGAGUUCGCGUGCAACGCUAGGUGAGCCUGAAGAAGUCUGACGUGGAAUUCUUGUUU
Non-coding RNA from Phoenix dactylifera (date palm), 1508 nucleotides. NCBI's taxonomy places the organism in Eukaryota, Viridiplantae, Streptophyta, Magnoliopsida, Arecales, Arecaceae. The record is from RefSeq and is a predicted model, not a curated record.